This 201-nucleotide ribosomal RNA is filed under the name uncultured bacterium. Its description in RNAcentral is "partial 16S ribosomal RNA". It matches the Rfam family "Bacterial small subunit ribosomal RNA", at positions 328 to 539 of the family's 1533-position model. The record is from RNAcentral.
ACGCUCGACACCUACGGGAGGCAGCAGUGGGGAAUAUUGCACAAUGGGGGAAACCCUGAUGCAGCAACGCCGCGUGAAGGAAGACGGUUUUCGGAUUGUAAACUUCUGUUCUUAGUGAAGAUAGUGACGGUAGCUAAGGAGCAAGCCACGGCUAACUACGUGCCAAACAGGCCGCGGUAAUCUGAGGCGGGCUGGCAAGGC